RNAcentral lists this long non-coding RNA (5216 nucleotides) under Homo sapiens (human). RNAcentral's name for it is "APRG1 tumor suppressor candidate, transcript variant E (APRG1)". The record is from RNAcentral. Lineage: Eukaryota; Metazoa; Chordata; Mammalia; Primates; Hominidae.
CUGGUAUUGUAUAUUUUAGUUCUAAAAUUCCCACUUGGCUCUCUAUAGCUUCCGUUUCUUUGAUGAGAAUUGUUUGUUUGUUUCAAGCAUGUUUGUAAUUGCUCAUUGAAGUGUUGGUAGGAUAGCUGCUUUAAAAAAUCUUUGCCAGAUAUUUCUAACAUCUCUGUCAUCUUGGUGUUGGUAUCUACUGAUUAUCUAUUUCCACUCAAGUAGAGAUUUUCCUGGUUCUUGGUAUGUCUAGUGACUUUCAACUGAAACCUGAACCUUUUGGAUAUUAUGAAACUCUGGAUCUUCUGUUUUAGCUGGCCCUUUUUGACACACUUUGACGGGGAAGGGCACCUAGUUGGGGGCACACCAUUACUGCCAGGUGAGGGCAGAAGUCUAGGUUUUCCACUUGGCCCUCAUUAACACCUGGAGUUGGGGAGGGUCUCCUUAUUACUGUUGGGUGGAGGUGUAGAGUUAGGGUUCCCCAGUAGGCCUCCUCUGAUACCCAGUAGGCCUCCACUAAUUACAUAUAUGUAUACACAUAUACACACACACACACACACACACACACACACACACACACAUCUUAUCUUAAUCCCAAAUAUGAUAGUACAGGAUAACAUUAAGGUUGUUUGACCUAAGGGCAGGAUUUAGUAAGUAUGUGAAAGAAAUCUCAGAAGAAUUCCCGCAACUGGGGUUAAUUAGCAUCCAAGAUGAAGUUGUUUUACCCUUCACAGGGGUGGAAGUCCAGACUUCCCAUAUGGUCUCCACUGACAUGGGGACAUGAUAUGGUGGGAAGGUCUCACUGCCUCCCACCAGGGAUGCUUCCUACGUGGCCUUUUCUGACAUCACCCUGGACAGAGUGUGCUUCCUUUACAGCUUGGCAGAUGUUAGAGGUCUAGGCUGUCCACUCGACAUUUGCUGGCAUGAAUGGGGGUGGGCCUGCAGUAUUUUCUGUGGUGUUUGGCUGGAGUAGACAGUUGUCUGAAAGCUUUCUGUCUUGCUAGGCUGCCUCUGUCCUGGUUCCUUGGCUAGAGAGAGGAGUUCUUUUUUGGAGAUUAUUUUUUUUUUUUGGUCUGAAUUCAGCAUUUCCAGGUAGCUGGCUUCUUCAGCUCCAAGUCAGGGAUCUAUGAAGCAAAGAGAAAACCCAGGGAACUCACCACCAUGGCAUUCCUUAGGUCCCAAGGUCUCUAGCUGGUCUGGCUUCGCUUCGUCUUUUAGAGUGUUAUAUUUGUUUUAUAUAUAAUGUCCAGUGUUUCUAGUUGCAUUCUGUGGGAGGCAUAGGGAGAAGUAUGUCUAUCUUCCCAGAAGCAGAAGUCUCCAAUACAAUGUGAUUUUAUUUAUGUAAAUUUUAAAAGUUGUAUGUAUUGUCACAGAUAUACAUACUUUUAAUAAAUGUAUGCAUAUAUAAACUGGAAGGAUAUAUAGUUAAUUCACCAUGGUGUUUAUAACUGAUCUUCCCUGAUCACUACCACCCAAUCUCUGUUUCCUCACACUUCUUUAGUUUUUUCUUAUGGCAUCUAGUAUUGUCUGCCCUCAUGUUGUGUGUUUAUUUGUUUAUUGUCUUUUUCCUCAUACUAGAAUGAAAACUCCAAGAGGGCAGGAACAUUAUCCAUCCUGCUCACUGUUGCAUCCUUAACACUUAGAAUAUGUAGUAAGCACUCAAUAAGCAUGUACUGAGUGAAUAAAUUAAUGAAAAAGUGAGUAAGAAAGGGGAUAAAAUGUAUCAGUACUUUCUCUGUAAUUAAAAACAAAACAUUUUGAAAAGACUGAGAAUAUCACCUCUUUCUCCAAUGAGAAGGCACAUGGAAAUGCAAGGGAGUAUGAGAAACACAGUUAUGGGCAGAAUAUGGACUCUUAUUUUAUAAGUCAAUUAAUCACAAAUACUGCUAUUUUAAGGAACCAAUUACUUGUAACACAACUCACAACUGAUCAAGACACACCAGUGGGAAUGAGUACAGCUGGAAAAAGCUCUCUAUUGUUUUAAUUCCUACUUUAUUAUUAUUGUUUUUUUAAAUUUUUUAAACAACUUUUAGGUUCAGAGGUACAUGUGCAGCUUUGUUAUAUAGGUAAACUCGUGUCAUAGGGGUUUGUCGUAGAGAUUAUUUUAUCACCCAGGUACUAAGCCUAGUACUCAAUAGUUAUUUUUUCUGAUCCUCUCCAGAUGCUGGCAAGGUUGCGGAGCAAAGGGAACACUUAUACACUGUUGAUGGGAGUGUAAAUUAGUUCAACCAUUGUGGAAAGCAGUGUGGUGAUUCCUCAAAGAGCUAAAAACAGAACUACUAUUUGACCCAGCAAUCCCAUUACCAGGUCUGUGAGGUGAAUGGCUGCCCAGUAAUCCUACUGCCAGUAUUCAAUGAGAAUACACAUGCUCACUUUGUUCCUGCCUGUGUCAACCGUAGCAGCUUCGCAGUCUUAACCACUGGGUCUAACCUUCUUGGCCUUUUCCUUUUACCUCAACUCUGCUCAGUCUCGAACUUGCCCUUCAUUCCUGACCUUUGAUUAUAUUCUCUCAGAGUUAACCCUAAUUCUGGCCUCCAGGGCUCCGUAACUAUUAUUCACAACCAACCCUUGGACGAAGCCUGAUCCCAGCUGUCCCAAGGAAUCAUCCUGUUUGGUCCAGACCUGACCCCUGGAUCCUGCCCCAUCACAGGCUCUUGAGGCUGGUUGGGGAGGGAAUGGAACUGGUUCAUGGGGCCUGGUUGUAUGCUUGAGGCUGACACUGUCAUAUAUAAUGAACCUAAGCCCACAUGGCACUGUCCACCCCAGCCAUGGCUGAAUCAGAGGGGAGGCCAAGAGUUUGUGAGUGGAGCACCAGAUGAGUCUGAUAGAAACUUUCAGACCCCUGUAGGUGGGGAGCUAGACUUGAGCUUCUUACAUAAACCCAGGAGGCACUGAAGACUGGUCCAUCCAUUAAACCAGAAGUAAAAAAAACAAAAACCAAAGACCAAAACCCUCUGCUAUCCAGUCUGGGAAAGCAGAAGAAGCUGCACUUUGCCCCGGUCAGUGGAUAGAAGAAGAGUUGCCUGUGAGCAAUUCGAGGCUGAGCCUGAACUGUGUGCGUGUGUGAAGUUCAGAUUCACACCACGUGAGUGAUGCAGGAACAUAAAGUCAUGCAGGAACUCCAGGCAAGGAGUGGAACAUAAACACUGCCCUGAAGCCCUCAGAAUCCCAGCAUAAGCUGAUGAGAAGCUAAAAGAUGCCUGCAUAUCCCAGGGUGCUGGAACUUCCAUGGAGAAUCACCCUGCUGAAGACGAGCUAGCGGGAAAGAUUCCAAGCCAUGAGAAGAAAUGAAUUCGUGAGAGGGAGCAGCCACAGACACACAAAUAAGAUUGCAUCCCAAGAAGGAGAGAUGAUAAAACAAUCUGGAAGAAACCUUAACAUAGGUACACAGAAGAAAGUGCUGGUGUCAUGAGAGCCAAGAGGAGGAGCACCUAACUGAUCAUUGAGAGAGUGACACCUGGUCUUAGGCUUAGAAGAGGAGUAGAAGAGAGCCAGUGAAGUCAGGGAAGGCUUCCAAGGCAAAAGGACCAGCAAAAGGGCAGCACAUUCCCCCUGUUCCCAGGUGGGUCCAGAGAUGUCGCCUGGGAGCCAGGGCCUGGAGUUCUGUUACUGUGGCUGAGCUUGCACCCAAGCUACAAGAUGACAUCCUACUCUUCCCUCACCUUUCUACAAGUAGAGGAGUCUCUUCUCAUGGCCACCAUUGUCCCAGGAUGUGAGGUCUGGAACAGCUGCAGCCAUUUUGCCACCAUGGGAAACCUGGGACAUCUGAACUGACUCCAUGAAGCCUGAAGAGAAAGCUAAUAAGAAGGCAGAGAGAAGAGGAAGAGUCUUGGUCUUUGGAAAUAUCUUUUGGAGCUGCUGGAUCAAGUAUCACUUGAAGUAUUAUUGAAUUUAUUCCCCGAAGGAGAGCGGCUAAGAGUAUUGCCCAGCCACAGGCUCUCAACCACCAACCCGAGCCUCAGAUUCUCCUCACACAGCCACAGCUGUACCACAUGGCCCACGUGGUAUGGUGCUAAUUCCUCUGACAUCUAAUUUUCACUUUUUGGCAAUAUUUGGUCUCAUCAAGCUUUACACAUAAAUAUUUUCAGCAAAGUGCUCCAAAUGCCUUUUUCAGAAAUCUGAAUCCACAUGAAAACAAUGGCAACAAGAAAAAGGUGUAAACUUUCCAGAACAGGCCCAGAAUUUGAAAAUGUGAUAAAGAGGUUAUUGUGCGCCCGAACUUUUCACACAAGAAUUGGAGGAGAUUUAACACAUGGAAUAAUAAACAGAGGAAGGCGGGCUAAUGCAGAGCAGAUGGGCCUGCAGGGCAGUGCUCAGCAUUUCAACAUCUUUCCCCUGGACCUUUGGACCCAAGGUGAUUGCAUGCUGGUGUCUUUAGCUAAAAAUAAAGUUAAUGUCUUUGGGGCAAUCAUAAAUAUGGCUGCUUCAGUUUCUGGGGUGAUUGGUGGUCUAAAGUUUUCAAGAACCUACUAUGUGAAAGGCAUUUGACAUUCACUAAUUUAAUCCCAACUACUACUCCAUUUUGAAGGAAAAAAAUGAAGGCUCUGAAAGUGUAAAUCGCUUACUGAAGGGCACACGGCCAGGAUGACAGCGGAGCCAGGAUCACCCCAGGUCUGUCUCAUUGCAUAUGUCAUGGCUCUGCAAACUGGGGCAAUAGGUGAGCAGGGAGAAGAGUCAUGGCCAAAUAAAAUUGAGACAUACCGAUACACACACACACACACACACACACACACACACAUUUACACGGUAACAGCCUUAUUAAGGUACAACUAAUGUACAAUAAGGUGUACAUAUUUAAAGGAUACUAUUUGAUAAGUUUUGACAUAUGUCUGUACCUGGGAAACCAUCACUACAAUCAUGAUGGUGAGCAUAUCUAAUACUCUCAAAAGUUUCCUCUUGCCUUUUGUAAUUCCAUUCUGCCAUCCCACCUGUCCCUCCCACUCCUGAUCCCAGGCAACCACUGAUCUGCUUUCUGUCACUAUAGAUUAGUUACAUUUUCUAGAAUUUUAUAUAAAUGAAAUAAUACAAUAUGUACUAUUUUUCUGUGUUUCUUUCACUCAGCAAAAUUAUUUUGAGAUUCAUUCAUGUUAUUGCUUGUUUAUUCCUUUAUAUUGUUGAGUAGUUAUUCCAUUGUAUGAAUAUGCCACAAUUUGUUUAUCUGUUCAUCUACAUAUGGACAUCUAUAGAUGUUUGCACUUUUGGGCUAUUAAAAAUCAAGUUGAUGUGAA